RNAcentral lists this transfer RNA (89 nucleotides) under Patescibacteria group bacterium. Its description in RNAcentral is "tRNA-Ser". It matches the Rfam family "tRNA". From Rfam's summary of the family: Transfer RNA (tRNA) molecules are approximately 80 nucleotides in length. Their secondary structure includes four short double-helical elements and three loops (D, anti-codon, and T loops). Further hydrogen bonds mediate the characteristic L-shaped molecular structure. tRNAs have two regions of fundamental functional importance: the anti-codon, which is responsible for specific mRNA codon recognition, and the 3' end, to which the tRNAs corresponding amino acid is attached (by aminoacyl-tRNA synthetases). tRNAs cope with the degeneracy of the genetic code in two manners: having more than one tRNA (with a specific anti-codon) for a particular amino acid; and 'wobble' base-pairing, i.e. permitting non-standard base-pairing at the 3rd anti-codon position. The record is from RNAcentral.
GGUGGGGUGUCGGAGCGGUCUAUCGAGCUGGUCUUGAAAACCAGUGUGUCCAAAAGGCACCGUGGGUUCGAAUCCCACCCCCACCGCCA